Molecule: ribosomal RNA, 460 nt
Filed under: uncultured bacterium
Lineage: Bacteria
Description: partial 16S ribosomal RNA
Rfam family: Bacterial small subunit ribosomal RNA
Source: RNAcentral
CCUACGGGAGGCAGCAGUGAGGAAUAUUGGUCAAUGGGCGAGAGCCUGAACCAGCCAAGUCGCGUGAAGGAUGACGGCCCUACGGGUUGUAAACUUCUUUUGUCAGGGAGCAAUUGGGUCCACGCGUGGGCUUAGCGAGAGUACCUGAAGAAAAAGCAUCGGCUAACUCCGUGCCAGCAGCCGCGGUAAUACGGAGGAUGCGAGCGUUAUCCGGAUUUAUGGGGUUUAUAGGGUGCGUAGGCGGAAUAUCAAGUCAGCGGUAAAAAUUCGGGGCUCAACCCCGUCGUGCCGUUGAAACUGAUGUUCUUGAGUGGGCGAGAAGUAUGCGGAAUGCGGGGUGUAGCGGUGAAAUGCAUAGAUAUCACGCAGAACUCCGAUUGCGAAGGCAGCAUACCGGCGCCCAACUGACGCUGAAGCACGAAAGCGUGGGUAUCGAACAGGAUUAGAUACCCCUGUAGUC